This 86-nucleotide transfer RNA is filed under the name Candidatus Vidania fulgoroideorum. Its description in RNAcentral is "beta proteobacterium endosymbiont of Hyalesthes obsoletus HO1-V tRNA". It matches the Rfam family "tRNA". Rfam says of the family: Transfer RNA (tRNA) molecules are approximately 80 nucleotides in length. The record is from Rfam by way of RNAcentral. Lineage: Bacteria; Pseudomonadati; Pseudomonadota; Betaproteobacteria.
AGAGAAAUGACUGAGUGGUUUAAAGUGUCUGACUUGAAAUCAGAUUUAAAUAAUACUUAACGUAGGUUCGAAUCCUACUUUCUCUU